RNAcentral lists this long non-coding RNA (832 nucleotides) under Helianthus annuus (common sunflower). The record is from RNAcentral. Lineage: Eukaryota; Viridiplantae; Streptophyta; Magnoliopsida; Asterales; Asteraceae.
GGGGCAGUCUGUAUACUUGUUUUAUAAAUAUCAUGAAGUGUGCAGAUCUUGAACAAAUGUGCCGCCUAAAAUCGAGUUGCCCUUUCCCCUUCCCUCGUUCACUAAUUUCACCGGCGUUUGGCCGGUGUCGGCACAACUCAGGCCGUUUUCCGGCACCUCGCUCUCCCCCAACCUGACCGACUACAUCCCGCCAUCCCCAACUGCACACAUCUGUCAUUCAUCUGAGAUGGAGGCGGCUGGCCAGCCACCGUCAUGGCGGCGGCACACAGCAGCGGGGAACGGAGAGAGAGGGACGUGAGAAGGAAGAAGAGCUGCAGCGGCGGUGACGGCAGCGCCGCCGUGAGCGGCGGGUGUCUACGGCAGUCGUAGUGGUGGUUCGUGUUGCAGGAUUGGUUUGGUUCGACUUCUAGUCUCGGGUUCGAGUUUCAGUCAACGUCAGACUCGGGACUCGGUUCAGACUCGGGACUCGGUUCAGUUGGUGCGACUCCGGGUCAGUUUCAAUUUAGUCUGUUUGUCGAUUCGUUGCAGGCUCGGUACAACGGUGGACUGCGGAAGUUGUUUCACGUAUCGUUCGGAUAACUAUUUCGUUUGCUCUCUUGGAUUUUUCACCAUCUUUAGUCGUGCGUUAUUUCAAGCAAUCGCAACGCAACCAAUGUUGAUUAUUGAAGUAUGGAUGAUUGAUGAAACAAGUUUAGGGUUGCUAGAUACACACCUAAAUUUAUCUGUCUUUUGUUGUUAUGUUAUUUGUUGAAACAAUGUUGUUAUUUCCUUUUGGAAUAUUGUAACAAAAUGUGAAAGCCAAAUAGAAGCCAGCUGGACAGCACUGAAGGCU